GCGUACUAUUAGCUAGUUGGUGGGGUAAAGGCCUACCAAGGCGAUGAUGGUUAACCGGCCUGAGAGGGUGUUCGGUCACACUGGAACUGAGAUACGGUCCAGACUCCUACGGGAGGCAGCAGUGAGGAAUAUUGCGCAAUGGGCGAAAGCCUGACGCAGCGACGCCGCGUGGAGGAUGAAGGUCUUCGGAUUGUAAACUUCUGUUAAGUGGGAAGAAAGGGCUGUUUUUAAUAGAAGCAGUUAAUGACGGUACCAUUAAAGAAAGCACCGGCUAAACUCGUGCCAGCAGCCGCGGUAAUACGAGUGGUGCAAGCGUUAUUCGGAAUAAUUGGGCGUACAGGGUGUGUAGGCGGUAUGUUAAGUCUGUUGUUAAAGACUCCGGCCUAACCGGAGACAGGCAGCGGAAACUGGCGUACUAGAGGGUGGAAGAGAGAAGUGGAAUUCUCGGUGUAGCGGUAAAAUGCGUAGAUAUCGAGAGGAACACCGAUGGCGAAGGCAGCUUCUUGGUCCAUACCUGACGCUGAAACACGAAAGCGUGGGGAGCAAACAGGAUUAGAUACCCUGGUAGUCCACGCUGUAAACGAUGAUCACUAGACGUUGGUUCUGUUUUACAGAAUCAGUGUCGCAGCUAACGCG
This 636-nucleotide ribosomal RNA is filed under the name uncultured bacterium. RNAcentral's name for it is "bacterial SSU rRNA". It matches the Rfam family "Bacterial small subunit ribosomal RNA", at positions 233 to 859 of the family's 1533-position model. The record is from RNAcentral.